UUAGUUUAAAUCAUUGAGAAUUUACACUUUAAAAAUUGAACUUACAUAAAAUGGUGGGACAUACAUUUAUUUCAUCCAA
RNAcentral lists this microRNA precursor (79 nucleotides) under Medicago truncatula (barrel medic). Its description in RNAcentral is "MIR5269 microRNA precursor family". It matches the Rfam family "MIR5269 microRNA precursor family". Lineage: Eukaryota; Viridiplantae; Streptophyta; Magnoliopsida; Fabales; Fabaceae. The record is from Rfam by way of RNAcentral.